UUCUCUGGAUUUUUUCAGCCACAACAACUGGAUUCUCUUUUCUGAUUUUUGCUGCAGCUUCUGCUUUGUAAUCAUAUGGACAGUUGUGCUUGUCAGAGUAACGGUGAAGUCCACAAAACAAAUUUCCACAUCGGCAGUCAAACCCUGUACACAUAAGAGGAAGUAGAGUCACUUGGGAAUUUGCAGUAAUUAAAAGGGGAAAAAAAAAGCCUCAGUCAGUGGAGAAAAAGAACCAGAUUUUCAUGGUUCUCUGUAACAUGAAAUUGAGUCUGCCACUUUAAAUUGUGAAACAGCUUUCAAUCUCUUUUGACACAGUGAGAAAUUCGAAUAGCUCUCCCUCCAUAAACGCCUGUGGAUAGCACAGGGUAGAAAUUACACAGGCUCUAAAGCCAGACUGACCUGGAUGCAAAUCCUCCUCCUCCUACAUAGAGCAGGAUAACGUUUUCUCAAGUGAAAACUGGGGAAAAGAGAACCAGAGGGUUCUGAAAUUUACAGGGAACAGUUAAGAAGUAUUCUAAUACUUUGUGCCUGGCUCAAAGACGGUGUUCACUGUUUGGGUCAACUACCUUCUCCUCAGGAGAACAAAGAAAAGACUCGAAAGCGAUGAAUUUUUAUCAGUUCAGUAAAGCAGAGAGACUCACAAGGCCUGAAGGUAAUAAAAGGUUCCAGAGGAUUAGAGACACAAGUGCAAAUCAAACCCAACUUCUCCCCACUAUCCUGCCCUCUUUCUAGUCCACUCUGGAAACUUUCUGUUCCUGAAAGUUGGGCAUUUUGUUGUAGGUGUCAGGACUGACCAGUCCCUUAAGGGAGCUCCCUGUUAAAGCCUACCAACAAAAUAUACGUUGUCUUCUAUGUUCUCUAAUACCUGUAAGGCCAACUUUCUUUCUGCACAUAAAACAUCUGUUCUUCUUUGGUUUGGGCAACUCAGGAGCUUUUUCUUCACUUUGAGAAGUACUAGGCUGAGAAACGGAUGGACUGGGCUGAGUGACAACUGAAAAACAAGGGUGAAAAUGAGAUAACUGUUAAGAGUUCACUGGCUGACAAUUACUUAAGUCACAAAAAGAAAACAUUUAAGAGAAGCAGGAAGAUUCUCAGUGAAAAUAUUCAUGAAGCCUUCUUAAAAACAUGUGCUUUAAAUAGAAUCUUCUACUUCAGUAUCAGAACUUUCAAAUCUGACAGUCUCUUGCCAACCAACAUACACUUGGCUUCUCUAAAUUUUGUAAAAUGAUUACUCCACUCAAAUUCCUUUAAACUGACUCUUAACAGCUAGUACUAGGGAAUAAACUCCUAAGUUUUAAAGACCUGGGAGAUGCUGGUCACAUGCCCAGUUUUUCCAAAUUGCAAUUGCCUAAAUGCAAACUUCUUAAUUAGGGCAGUUUACAUUCAUUAUUACUCAGUACAUAAAGUUGCCAACCGCCAAAAUAUUCAUUUUGGUUUUACACUGAUAGACAAAAGACUGAAUACAUAAAUUUAGCAAUUUCAGUAAGUAAAACCCAAAUCGUUAAGCCCUAAUUAACUUCAGAUCCUAAAAUUUCACAAUUAUUUUGCCAUUUUAACACGGGCUUUAUAUGGUCACAUGCAGAAAAUCUGAAUAGUUCUUAAACUUUUUGAAAGAUCAGCAAACAGUCUUUAGGACAAUAUAAGUACUUGUGAAGUUUUGACUAUUAAGGAUUCCACAGGCAAAUCAAGAAUUUUUAAAGCACAGCUUUUAUUUGCUUUGCAGUACUUCUCUAAAAUGGGUACAGAAUUUAGACAAUGAGAGAUAAUGAUCUACUUUUAAGAAGUCCGUGUUUCUCCUUAAAGUUUUAGUUCACAUGACAUCAAUAAAAUUUGUCAACAUGAAAACUGCAGUUCAGCACAUUAGAGCUCACCAUUACCACUAGUUACUUAAAACAAAAAUACCAAAUUAGUUCUGCUUUUAUAGAAUUCAAUUAGACCAGAAGCACAGAGUUUUAAUAUUAAUCCAAACCCCAAGAAUAGCAAAUUAUUGUAUGCAAUGCUAAGAUUACUGCUUAAAUAGGCCAGCACCAAUGCUAGAAGCAUAAAUCCAAACUCUAGAGCAAGCUGAUAGGUUUCAUGACAGCUUACUCUAAAAUUCUCUGUAAAUACAUAACUCAUUUGCAUUAGUAAUAUAUUUAGUCAGACUAAUAGCCUAUUAUACACUAACAGAAUAAUACUCUACCUACUACUCAUUCCUAAUAAUCUACUAUGACAACCUAAUAGUUUUUCCUGAUGCUAUGAUGGUAAAGAAAAAUGUACGGGAACAGUUUGGGGGAGGGGUAUGUGUGACAGCCAUUUCCUUGGCUACAUCAGAAGACUGAAUAGUGGUUCCUGGGACAUACAAGGACAAAUGGGAGUUAAGAAGGGGGAAACGACUCAGUAAAGGCAAAGAGGAACAAACUACAGAACCUAUUAAGAAAUAAUAAAUGCAGAGACCAGGUGCAGAUCCAAACCAAAAGAGUACCGUUCCCAGGUCAGAGUAAUUUUGUUUAUAAAACCCCACGAACACCUAAUUUGGCCAGCUUUUUCAGAAAGAUUGAACUCCUUUGAAAAUACCAAAUAUGGAUUCACCUGCUGAACUGCAGAGUUUUUACUUAACUUUAUAAAUUACGAUUGCUAUAGUUCACAUAAGCUUUGCUAUGUGAUGUUAGCAAAAGCAAGCCUCCAAAGCAGAUCACAUACCCACAGAUGUUAUUUCCUCACAAUAAAGUUUUAUAUUGCGUUCAGUCAACACUGUACCAGGAGACAAUGAACUGAGUAAAUGAAUGAUGUGCCCUAUAGAGUACAGAGCUAUCUGUUUUAGGGCCCAGCACAGGUAAUUCAAACAAGUCCAUCUCUCAAUGUGACAGCACUUCUGACUAUGCUCUACAGAAGCAGAGACUCAAAGGCACUCAAUGAAAACAAUGCCUUUCCAUAUUGAGUUUUGAACUCUUGGUUUUUUCAACUCCUAGACUUUUCAACUUGAAAGCUUCUUUCAGUGUUCAAUAUGUUGUCUUAAAUAUUUUCUACAACACUGAGGAUACCAAGACUGAAUAUUGCUUUUGAUUAUAAAACUUUCUUCACGGCUUUGAAAUUUAACCUAAUUUCUUCUGUUUAUGAGUAACACUUUCUUUAGUGAUUUAGAGAUCUUUGAAAUAUAAUGGCAAACGACCUUUUAAGUUCAUUACAUUCUUAAUAUUUCCAGUUCCCAGAUUAUAAAUUUAUGGUGUGAGUUUAAGGAGAAGAAAGAAGAGUAAAGAAUGACUAUUUUACACCCAAGGGACUUGAGAGAGAGUGGCUCUUCCUUGGCCUAGAUUUUACAGCUCUCUCUCCAAUUUAACCUUCAAUGGGAAGGAACUCCUCUCCCACCAACUCUUUCUUGUACUACCAAAUCCAGAACGGAACUAGUAUUAAACAAAAAGCAUACCUGGCUCUGACACCUCUGUUUUCGGGGUAGUUAUUUUGUCCUCUCUUGAAAUGCUCAUUUCUGUCAUUUGCUGAGUUACAGGCAAGGCAGCCACAGGCACAUUUCUAUUUGAGUUCAAGCAAACAUUUUUAAAGAUGUUAAGGGUACUUCUUUGUGAGACAGUAAGUUGUCAGUUCAACUUUAAAGUAUGUACUAUUUCCAACAUGAUCAAAUGGAACUAAAUAAUCUAAAAACUUAAAAGAAUAUUGGAUGCCCAGCACACACGGUUGAGAAUAAAGAAAGCGAUCUGAUAAAUGGCUCAUCAAUUCAAGGCUGCAUAUGUGUAUGGGUUACGAUGUCCUAUUAUAGCCAACUGGGAACUUUUAGCUGUGCCUGUAACUUAAGGGCAAAAGGGGCAGCUUCGCCAAAAUGUCUUGUGUAGCAUUACAACACAGUCUGCAGAGCCAUACUCUACAAUCACUUAACCUCAAUUAUAAUACAAGCACAGCAUUCUCAAUACAGCAUCCUUGAGAGUACCACGGAGUGUUAUGAUAUACGUCUUUAUUCAGUGACCUGUAAGACCAUGUAGUAAAAGAUCCCAGAAUCCCAGACUGUGCAACACAAGCAAAGCCAAGGGCAUCGGAUCCAUUAACAUCCUUAGUAUAUAUAGACAUUCAUAAUUAGAAUGGUAUGGGGAGCACCCACGUAUUUCCUUGUUGUAUUAUGAUAAAAAGCCUGAAGUGGUCAAUCUUACCUUGAUUUUUCAGAUGUGCUGCCAGCAGCACCUUCACAGUUGUUUAAACUAGUGUCUGCUCUCUGUACAGAUGCAGAAUCUGAGGUAGGACUGUUGGAACCACUAGCUGUUCCUAUUUAAAAAAAGGAUUUGUAAGAAACAGCAAGACUACCAACACUCAGUAGCAAGACUCUUAAUAAGUAACAAAUACUUGCAUUUAAUUAGGUUAGUGAUUUAAGCACUUUCACUGUACUGCUGAAUCCUACAAUUAAGUGAGUAUCCAAACAAAAACAUGUAUGGAAAAGUCACAUCCAGUGAACAUAAGUAUGAAACAAAACCUCAAAAAGGAAAAUAAAAAAGCUAGAAGAUGCUUGUAGAUGGUCAUUCAUUCCUGAUGUUGUCAUGCCAAGGACGUGGGCUGGGCUGCUGCUUUAAUUUCAAGCUUUUCUCAGGAAUUCUCUUCUUGGGCUCUCAGCAUUGAUUCUCAUAGUCUUAGGCCCCAAUUCUUGGUUCUAUAUUUUCUGUCCACCAGUUCUUCAAAUGGGUUUUUCCUUGGAAACUUACCCAUUGGGCUCAUUCUGCCACUAUUUUGCUG
RNAcentral lists this long non-coding RNA (4713 nucleotides) under Lynx pardinus (Iberian lynx). The record is from RNAcentral. Lineage: Eukaryota; Metazoa; Chordata; Mammalia; Carnivora; Felidae.